GGAUAACCUACCCUUAGGACCGGGAUAACCCUGGGAAACUGGGGAUAAUACUGGAUAGGCAAUUUUUCCUGUAAUGGUUUUUUGUUUAAAUGUUUUUUCGCCUAAGGAUGGGUCUGCGGCCGAUUAGGUAGUUGGUUAGGUAAUGGCUUACCAAGCCGUUGAUCGGUACGGGUUGUGAGAGCAAGAGCCCGGAGAUGGAACCUGAGACAAGGUUCCAGGCCCUACGGGGUGCAGCAGGCGCGAAACCUCCGCAAUGUGAGAAAUCGCGACGGGGGGAUCCCAAGUGCCAUUCUUAACGGGAUGGCUUUUCAUUAGUGUAAAGAGCUUUUGGAAUAAGAGCUGGGCAAGACCGGUGCCAGCCGCCGCGGUAACACCGGCAGCUCUAGUGGUAGCAAUUUUUAUUGGGCCUAAAGCGUCCGUAGCCGGUUUAAUAAGUCUCUGGUGAAAUCCUGCAGCUUAACUGUGGGAAUUGCUGGAGAUACUAUUAGACUUGAGACCGGGAGAGGUUAGAGGUACUCCCAGGGUAGAGGUGAAAUUCUGUAAUCCUGGGAGGACCGCCUGUUGCGAAGGCGUCUAGCUGGAACGGUUCUGACGGUGAGGGACGAAAGUUAGGGGCGCGAACCGGAUUAGAUACCCGGGUAGUCCUAACUGUAAACGAUGCGGACUUGGUGUUGGGGUG
This 679-nucleotide ribosomal RNA is filed under the name uncultured archaeon. Its description in RNAcentral is "bacterial SSU rRNA". It matches the Rfam family "Archaeal small subunit ribosomal RNA", at positions 102 to 781 of the family's 1478-position model. The record is from RNAcentral.